CGGCCGCGUCGACUAGGUCCCGAGCGUUGUCCGGAUUUAUUGGGCGUAAAGCGAGCGCAGGCGGUUUGAUAAGUCUGAAGUUAAAGGCUGUGGCUCAACCAUAGUUCGCUUUGGAAACUGUCAAACUUGAGUGCAGAAGGGGAGAGUGGAAUUCCAUGUGUAGCGGUGAAAUGCGUAGAUAUAUGGAGGAACACCGGUGGCGAAAGCGGCUCUCUGGUCUGUAACUGACGCUGAGGCUCGAAA
This 243-nucleotide ribosomal RNA is filed under the name uncultured Streptococcus sp. RNAcentral's name for it is "partial 16S ribosomal RNA". It matches the Rfam family "Bacterial small subunit ribosomal RNA", at positions 512 to 758 of the family's 1533-position model. The record is from RNAcentral. Lineage: Bacteria; Bacillati; Bacillota; Bacilli; Lactobacillales; Streptococcaceae.